ACAAGCGGUGGAUGAUGUGGUUAAUUCGAUGCAACGCGAAAACCUUACCACCUUGACAUGCACGGAAUCCUUAGAGAUAGAGGAGUGCUCGAAAGAGAACCGUAACACAGGUGCUGCAUGGCUGUCGUCAGCUCGUGUCGUGAGAUGUUGGGUUAAGUCCCGCAACGAGCGCAACCCUUGUCAUUAGUUGCUACAUUCAGUUGGGCACUCUAAUGAGACUGCCGGUGACAAACCGGAGGAAGGUGGGGAUGACGUCAAGUCCUCAUGGCCCUUAUAGGUGGGGCUACACACGUCAUACAAUGGAUGGUACAAAGGGUCGCCAACCCGCGAGGGGGAGCCAAUCCCAUAAAGCCAUUCGUAGUCCGGAUCGCAGUCUGCAACUCGACUGCGUGAAGUCGGAAUCGCUAGUAAUCGUGGAUCAGAAUGUCACGGUGAAUACGUUCCCGGGUCUU
RNAcentral lists this ribosomal RNA (452 nucleotides) under uncultured Acidovorax sp. Its description in RNAcentral is "bacterial SSU rRNA". It matches the Rfam family "Bacterial small subunit ribosomal RNA", at positions 925 to 1382 of the family's 1533-position model. The record is from RNAcentral. Lineage: Bacteria; Pseudomonadati; Pseudomonadota; Betaproteobacteria; Burkholderiales; Comamonadaceae.